This 395-nucleotide unclassified non-coding RNA is filed under the name soil metagenome. Its description in RNAcentral is "partial contains 5.8S ribosomal RNA, internal transcribed spacer 2, and large subunit ribosomal RNA". The stretch from base 1 to 120 matches the Rfam family "5.8S ribosomal RNA", at positions 35 to 154 of the family's 154-position model. The record is from RNAcentral.
GAUGAAGAACGUAGCGAAAUGCGAUAAGUAAUGUGAAUUGCAGAAUUCAGUGAAUCAUCGAAUCUUUGAACGCACCUUGCGCCUUUUGGUAUUCCGAAAGGCACACCUGUUUGAGCGUCAUGAAUACCUCAAUCUCCAUCUUUUCUUCGGAUUGAUGGGUGACUUGGAUGUUGAGCCCUGCUGGUAUGCUAUAUCAGCUGGCUUUAAACUUAUUAGCCGGCUCUGUACUGGAUCGGUUUGACUCGACGUGAUAAUAUUAUCGUUGAGGAUGCAUGUCUCAUGCAGCCGGAAAGUAUCAAAGCAGCUUCUAGCUUGCCUUUAGUGCACUUUUACAUUUUAGACCUCAGAUCAGGUGGGACUACCCGCUGAACUUAAGCAUAUCAAUAAGCGGAAGA